AGGACAGCAGCAGCUAUUCUGGCCAUGAACCCAUGACUGGUCCGAGGUUAAAUUUGGAACGGUGAUGAGACGAGAUGAACAUCAGCUGUGAACAUCCACUCAGGGGAAAUCCUGAUCAGCCGUGAGACUCCGCUCAAACAAAGGCACAUGCAGUCUUGACAGAUGGGGUAG
Long non-coding RNA from Thalassophryne amazonica, 171 nucleotides. RefSeq lists it as uncharacterized. The transcript is spliced from 3 exons. Lineage: Eukaryota; Metazoa; Chordata; Actinopteri; Batrachoidiformes; Batrachoididae. The record is from RefSeq and is a predicted model, not a curated record.